Molecule: long non-coding RNA, 632 nt
Organism: Passer domesticus (house sparrow)
Lineage: Eukaryota; Metazoa; Chordata; Aves; Passeriformes; Passeridae
Exons: 3
Source: RefSeq, a predicted model, not a curated record
ACUCCUUUUAAUUAAAGCUGGACCUUCUGCCAGUAGGAAAGAGUUGUUAAGAGAGGAGAAGAAAUAAAAUACCUGUCAAUAUGUCUGAAAGAAGAAAACAUUAAUAUAAGCCAUAAGCACAAGACCACACUCUGGCAAUUUUAAACACAUGCCACAAAAGGAACAUUUAACACACUGGUCUCAGAGAACUGCCUUUUUAAACUUACUUCUUCAUUUUUUAAAAGGAACAAGAUGCAGAAGUCACAAUAAAAAAUUCUUCAGUUGAAGAGAUGGAUUCUCACCAGUAACAUUGCUCAUACUAAUUCCAGUACCUUGAAAUGUCACCACUGGAGGAUACUGCAGGAGAGGCUCAACUACAUACUACAGAUCCAGCACCCAUUCAGCUCUUUCUUGCCUUUGAGUCACUUCUGCACAACCCGGGUUGUACCAGCAAUUCCUUCACAGCUUAUGAUGCACACAGCACUAGCUAAGCUGGUGACAAAUUGAAUUUUGAAGAGAAGAGAGAUGGCAGCUCUUCCAUCUGUUGGGACUGAGAACCUUUUUCACUGAAAAACAGCUGGGACUUUUUUCCUCCUAAAGGAGAAAAACCAGAAGAAUUUGGACAUGUAGAAGUUCUUUAAUAGACAGUGCUU